This 253-nucleotide ribosomal RNA is filed under the name uncultured bacterium. RNAcentral's name for it is "partial 16S ribosomal RNA". It matches the Rfam family "Bacterial small subunit ribosomal RNA", at positions 524 to 776 of the family's 1533-position model. The record is from RNAcentral.
UACGAAGGGGGCUAGCGUUGCUCGGAAUCACUGGGCGUAAAGCGCACGUAGGCGGCUUUUUAAGUCAGGGGUGAAAUCCUGGAGCUCAACUCCAAAACUGCCUUUGAUACUGAGAAGCUUGAGUCCGGGAGAGGUGAGUGGAACUGCGAGUGUAGAGGUGAAAUUCGUAGAUAUUCGCAAGAACACCAGUGGCGAAGGCGGCUCACUGGCCCGGUACUGACGCUGAGGUGCGAAAGCUAGGGGAGCAAACAGG